YAGGCUCGUGUGGANGNGNAGCGUUUGUCGGGGCGACUUCUUCCUCUGGCCCGGCCCGGGCCUAGGGGCUGAGGGCGCCCGCGAACGCCUCCCCGCCUGCGGAUUUCUCCGCGCGGCUGAGGAAGGAGAGAAGUACGGCAGCCCGUGGGCCGGCCCUAGGGGCCCCAGCGAGCGCCUUUUUCUUGCCGAGGUGGGCCCCGGAAUCCGGCCGCUGGCUGCCUAGCGCUGCAAGAUGGCCCCCUCUUCACGCAGUGAGGCUGCGGCCUGCUUGUCGCGGAGCUUCCCACCGCGAGGGCCUGGCCCCCAGUGGGAGGGCCUGGCCCCCAGUGGGGUGGCCGGCGCUCUUGCGGUAGGGAACGAAGCCCGGGCGGUGCCGCGCGCCGCUUUGAACUUAGAGGGGAAAGCGGGAAAGCCUUGGUGGGCAUAAGGGUCU
This 433-nucleotide ribosomal RNA is filed under the name Leucorrhinia glacialis. RNAcentral describes it as "eukaryotic LSU rRNA". The record is from RNAcentral. Lineage: Eukaryota; Metazoa; Arthropoda; Insecta; Odonata; Libellulidae.